AACAGUUGCUAAGACUGGAUAGGAAAUUAAAAGGCAUCUUUUAAUUUUUAAAAGACCUUUUUCGAAAGGUAUACUUAAAGAGGGGCUUGCGGCACAUUAGUUAGUUGGUAGGGUAAAAGCCUACCAAGACCAUGAUGUGUAGCUGGACUGAGAGGUUGAACAGCCACAUUGGGACUGAGACACGGCCCAAACUCCUACGGGAGGCAGCAGUAGGGAAUUUUCGGCAAUGGAGGAAACUCUGACCGAGCAACGCCGCGUGAACGAUGAAGUAUUUCGGUAUGUAAAGUUCUUUUAUUGAAGAAGAAAAAAUAGUGGAAAAACUAUCUUGACGAUAUUCAAUGAAUAAGCCCCGGCAAACUAUGUGCCAGCAGCCGCGGUAAUACAUAGGGGGCGAGCGUUAUCCGGAAUUAUUGGGCGUAAAGGGUGCGUAGGCGGUUUGACAAGUCUAUAGUUUAAUUUCAGUGCUUAACACUGUUCUGCUAUAGAAACUAUCAGACUAGAGUGAGAUAGAGGCAAGUGGAAUUCCAUGUGUAGCGGUAAAAUGCGUAAAUAUAUGGAGGAACACCAGAGGCGUAGGCGGCUUGCUGGGUCUUUACUGACGCUGAGGCACGAAAGCGUGGGGAGCAAACAGGAUUAGAUACCCUGGUAGUCCACGCCGUAAACGAUGAGUACUAAGUGUCGGGGAAACUCGGUACUGAAGUUAACACAUUAAGUACUCCGCCUGAGUAGUACGUACGCAAGUAUGAAACUUAAAGGAAUUGACGGGACUCCGCACAAGCGGUGGAUCAUGUUGUUUAAUUCGAAGAUACACGAAAAACCUUACCAGGUCUUGACAUACUCUGCAAAGCUAUAGCAAUAUAGUGGAGGUUAUCAGGGAUACAGGUGGUGCAUGGUUGUCGUCAGCUCGUGUCGUGAGAUGUUAGGUUAAGUCCUAAAACGAGCGCAACCCUUGUCACUAGUUGCCAGCAUGUUAUGAUGGGCACUUUAGUGAGACUGCCAAUGAAAAAUUGGAGGAAGGUGAGGAUCACGUCAAAUCAUCAUGCCCCUUAUGAUCUGGGCUACAAACGUGAUACAAUGGCUGUUACAAAGAGUAGCUAAAACGCGAGUUUAUAGCCAAUCUCAUAAAAGCAGUCUCAGUUCGGAUUGAAGUCUGCAACUCGACUUCAUGAAGUUGGAAUCGCUAGUAAUCGCGAAUCAGCAUGUCGCGGUGAAUACGUUCUCGGGGUUUGUACACACCGCCCGUCAAACC
This 1249-nucleotide ribosomal RNA is filed under the name Lychee phytoplasma. RNAcentral describes it as "bacterial SSU rRNA". It matches the Rfam family "Bacterial small subunit ribosomal RNA", at positions 155 to 1403 of the family's 1533-position model. Lineage: Bacteria; Bacillati; Mycoplasmatota; Mollicutes; Acholeplasmatales; Acholeplasmataceae. The record is from RNAcentral.